Molecule: long non-coding RNA, 247 nt
Filed under: Zonotrichia albicollis (white-throated sparrow)
Lineage: Eukaryota; Metazoa; Chordata; Aves; Passeriformes; Passerellidae
Description: lncRNA (ENSZALG00000011976.1)
Source: RNAcentral
CCCGCAGCUCGGGGUAGCUCCUGAGUGCUCCCACUGGUUGCCCUUUGCGGAGGCCUCUUGGAGCAGCGUCGCUCUGCUGCUGGGGCGAGGCUGCGGACGUCAGUGUGCUUUAGCUGCGGCUACUCACAGCCUUUUAAACUUUAAACAGCGGCGGGACGGGAGGAACGCAGAGAUAAAUGGGCGAAAUGCACCUCCAGGCCUUCUGACAUUUCGUGUUUUAGGUAUUCCAAAGUUCAUGGACUCGUAG